UUUCAUUUCUCUUAUGAUAGGUUGUACAUGAUUUCUAAGCUAUUAAAAGUAUUACAACUAUUUUAUCCGUCAAGGUUUUAGGAUAACUGGUAACUUGUCUAAUUUAUUGAUACGAUGAUAACAGGGUGUUUACGUGCAGGUUGUGUCAGCAACAUCAGCAUUCCACGCGGAGAAAGUUGAAGAAGCAAAGACAACAACUGAAGAAGCAGCCGCCACAGUUGAGGAAGUUGUCGCAGCACCAGAAGUGCCUAAACAAACCGAGACCACGACUACUACUACUACUCCUGCACCUGUCGUCGCGGAUGAGCCAGCAGAGGCAACCAAUGCCGAAGCCCCGGCAGCAGAGGAGGCCAAGGUCACUGAAGAGGAGGUUAAGGCAGAGAGUGUUCCAGAGGAAACUGUGAAGGAAGAAGUUGUGGUACCUGCUGAGGAGCCGGUUGCUGAGAAAUUUUCAGAUGCGCCUGUAGAAAUUGAACCCGAAGCUGUAGUGGAAGCUAAAGCAGAAGCUGAGGAGGUUGUGAAAGAAGAUGCUGUUGCAGAUACUAAUGUGGAGGAGGAGGAGGAGAAGACUACUACUGAGCAAGAUGAAGACAAGGUGGAGGCAGCAGUAGCUGAGGCGGAGGAGGAAACUAAGAAGACCG
This 641-nucleotide long non-coding RNA is filed under the name Daucus carota (carrot). RNAcentral's name for it is "long non-coding RNA (DCAR_LNC004439)". Lineage: Eukaryota; Viridiplantae; Streptophyta; Magnoliopsida; Apiales; Apiaceae. The record is from RNAcentral.